CCCAACCGAGCCUCCCUAGCC
Molecule: non-coding RNA, 21 nt
Filed under: Arabidopsis thaliana (thale cress)
Lineage: Eukaryota; Viridiplantae; Streptophyta; Magnoliopsida; Brassicales; Brassicaceae
Source: RNAcentral